This 386-nucleotide ribosomal RNA is filed under the name uncultured bacterium. RNAcentral describes it as "bacterial SSU rRNA". It matches the Rfam family "Bacterial small subunit ribosomal RNA", at positions 29 to 417 of the family's 1533-position model. The record is from RNAcentral.
AUUGAACGCUGGCGGCAUGCCUUACACAUGCAAGUCGAACGGCAGCACGGGAGCAAUCCUGGUGGCGAGUGGCGAACGGGUGAGUAAUACAUCGGAACGUGCCCAGUAGUGGGGGAUAGCCCGGCGAAAGCCGGAUUAAUACCGCAUACGACCUAUGGGUGAAAGCGGGGGAUCGCAAGACCUCGCGCUAUUGGAGCGGCCGAUGUCAGAUUAGGUUGNGGUGGGGUAAAGGCCUACCAAGCCGACGAUCUGUAGCUGGUCUGAGAGGACGACCAGCCACACUGGGACUGAGACACGGCCCAGACUCCUACGGGAGGCAGCAGUGGGGAAUUUUGGACAAUGGGGGCAACCCUGAUCCAGCCAUGCCGCGUGCGGGAAGAAGGCCU